GUAAAUCUGCGUUUAGACGUAAAUCUGCGUUUAGACGUAAAUCUGCUUUUUGCAGAUUACUUUUUGAGCUAUACAAUAGCAGCACAUUGUCUUUAUACUUCUGCUUAAACUGCGCUUAGACGCAAACUGUGUUUAGACGCAAACUGCGCUUAGACGCAAUCUGCGCUUAGACGCAAACUGCGCUUAGACGCAAACUGCGCUUAGACGCAAUCUGAGCUUAGACGCAA
RNAcentral lists this long non-coding RNA (227 nucleotides) under Musa acuminata (dwarf banana). RNAcentral describes it as "long non-coding RNA (MACU_LNC011788)". Lineage: Eukaryota; Viridiplantae; Streptophyta; Magnoliopsida; Zingiberales; Musaceae. The record is from RNAcentral.